Non-coding RNA from Paramisgurnus dabryanus, 497 nucleotides. The record is from the annotation of a RefSeq genome assembly. NCBI's taxonomy places the organism in Eukaryota, Metazoa, Chordata, Actinopteri, Cypriniformes, Cobitidae.
CAUCAGAAGUUCAUCAUCAGAAAUCUAAACUCACAGUCACCAUGACCUUCAUCAGCAUCUUCAUCUGGAUGUUAACUUGUUUCUGUUUCAGAGAAUCAAGAGGUGAAGUGACCGUCAUUCAGACACCUGCAGUCAAAUCUGUUCAUCUACGAGACACAGUUACUAUCACCUGUAAAACUAAUCCUGAAGUCUAUGAGAGCUCAGGUUAUCACUUUCUGUCCUGGUACUUACAGAAACCUGGAGAAGCUCCUAAACUCCUCAUAUAUUAUGCAAGCACCCUUCAGUCUGGAACUCCAUCAAGAUUCAGUGGCAGUGGAUCAAAGACAGAUUUUACUCUGAGCAUCAGUGAAGUUCAGACUGAAGAUGCAGGAGAUUAUUACUGUAUGAGUGUACACUAUAUCAACAGUAAAUAUGUGUUCACACAGUGAUAAAGAGUCGUACAAAAACCUCCUUCAGUUAGACUGCACAGAUACACCUGACAGAUACUGCAGCUGCAC